UUGGGGAUCCCCUUCCCCUUCUUCAUCGCGACGCCGCCGACUCUCCUCCCUCCCUCUCACACUCGCACGCGCAGGCGGCGCUGUGCGCCGUGCCAUCGCUGCCUCCCCGUCGGCCAGCAACAGCCUCCACCGCCCCCGAGCCACAGCCAAGCCUCUUCCCUCUUCUCGCGCGCAAGCACCACAGUAGCCGGCAACCCUCCUCCUCACGCGGGCACCAGCCGCCGAGCCAAGGCAACCGACCCCUCUUCCUCACGUGGAGGACGUUGAUUGAAGACGGUUGACACGAUCUCCACAUAAGACGGGUAACAGAUAGAUGAGUC
Molecule: long non-coding RNA, 320 nt
Organism: Zingiber officinale
Lineage: Eukaryota; Viridiplantae; Streptophyta; Magnoliopsida; Zingiberales; Zingiberaceae
Exons: 3
Source: RefSeq, a predicted model, not a curated record